UCUUACAUCUCUAUUAUAAUGAAAACAAACCGAAUACAUACAUCUCCAUUUGUGCACUUACACCAAGUCAAUGAAAUACAUUAUUUAGGGCACUUUAGCAACAGCCGCCUCAUCUCCCGCUCUAGCACACACAUAAACACGGGCAGCAGGUAGUAGUACAGCUAGCCCCCACUGUCCGUGUUGAUCUUUAUCUGUGCAGGCCUCAUAACUGACAUUUUCAAUUACACUGCAAACAACUAAUCGAUAUUCAUGGAUUUCCAGGUCAGCGAAGAGGCAAACAGAGCGGUUGGGCGUGCGUGUGCGCGUGCAGCGGGGGAGACAGCACGGGCUGGCAGGGGAGAGAAAUAGGGCAGACAUGUCAAGGUCGGGAUUCUGUUAAUGAGGGACUGCCGUCUGCAUAAUUGAAUGGGCUGCGCAGUAUCGACUGCUCAAGCAGAAGCGUUUAAAGCGGUCCAGGGCGAUCGUUAAGGAAAAUCCUCCCAGCACUUUAUGUUCCGUGGCAGUAAUUUAUGCACGGGCAUCCGGGCAGGCGCCCCACGGUUCACAGCACUGAAUGCAAACGGCAAUGAGUGGAUUACCCUUUCCAAACGGCAGCCAUGCGUGGCAGGCAUUUUUGCAAUUGAGGCUGCUGUUCUCGUAGGGCCGCACUCGUUUAUGUGUGCAAUUUAAAAACACAGUCAUGUCACACGCGUGCUCGCGUUCUCUGCAUGAUUUAAAGUAGCCGCUCAAUAUUCAAACGCACACACGCGCACUCACUCAACUGCAUGAAAUGGAGGAGGGUGGAGCGCAGUGAGAUUUUCAAUAUGUAUUGUGUGUAUCCAUCAGCAAAUAAUGUUCCUUGGGGACAAGUUAACUCCCAGUUGACCCUGGAUGCAAUGGACUGACAGUUGGGAAUUAUGCAAAAGGCACACUGAAGACUGUGUUUCUGGUGCAGACAGAAGCAGGAGAGGCAGGGGAUGACAGAUGCGCCAAUGAAUCAAACAGGGCACCUGGAGAGGUUUUACCACAGCCACAAAUACAUCACCGCAGCGGUAGAUGCGUUUUCCACCCAGCGUGAACUGCAGUCCUGUGGAUGUCAGUUAAAGUGACCCUAAAAUGGAAAGGGAAAUCAACAGUGCACAGGGCUAGGUAGUUUUGAAGAAAUGUGUCAAACAAAACCUGGACUGAAGCACACAUGGAUCGGACCCAUAAUUUUGCAGUGGUGUUAGAGGUCUUCUCUCACACUUUC
Megalobrama amblycephala (Wuchang bream) is the source of this 1228-nucleotide long non-coding RNA. RefSeq lists it as uncharacterized. The transcript is spliced from 3 exons. The record is from RefSeq and is a predicted model, not a curated record. NCBI's taxonomy places the organism in Eukaryota, Metazoa, Chordata, Actinopteri, Cypriniformes, Xenocyprididae.